CCCCCUAGCGGGCCUUAGCUGCACGGCCAUGUGCUUCUGCCUAUUCACUCAUGACCUGAAGUGCUGGCGACCGAAUGUUGUACAGCGCUGUGAUAGCCGCUGGACGAGCCCCGCCUCCAGGGGGGACUUAAGGCGGGGAGGAGCUGUAGCACCUGCACCUUCAUUCCUUCUGUUCUCCCCCUGCAUCACGCCGAGGCGUGCAGCCCUCUACGACUGUCCCAUAGCGCAUUCCGACUGACGGCCACCUCAAGGACAGAACUCCUCUGCAUGAGUGCUGUUCAUCGCUUCGUCACUUGUCGCUUCGUCCUAGCCAACACAGCACAGGCCACGACGCCGCGACGCCGCAUCGCCAGGGCUUGGGGUCCGUAGAAAGCC
RNAcentral lists this long non-coding RNA (375 nucleotides) under Volvox carteri. RNAcentral describes it as "long non-coding RNA (VCAR_LNC002048)". Lineage: Eukaryota; Viridiplantae; Chlorophyta; Chlorophyceae; Chlamydomonadales; Volvocaceae. The record is from RNAcentral.